RNAcentral lists this ribosomal RNA (460 nucleotides) under uncultured bacterium. Its description in RNAcentral is "partial 16S ribosomal RNA". It matches the Rfam family "Bacterial small subunit ribosomal RNA", at positions 338 to 795 of the family's 1533-position model. The record is from RNAcentral.
CCUACGGGAGGCAGCAGUGAGGAAUAUUGGUCAAUGGACGAGAGUCUGAACCAGCAAAGCAGCGUGAAGGAUGACUGCCCUAUGGGUUGUAAACUUCUUUUAUAUGGGAAUAAAAUGUUCCACGUGUGGGAUUUUGUAUGUACCAUAUGAAUAAGGAUCGGCUAACUCUGUGCCAUCAGCCGCGGUAAUACGGAGGAUCCGAGCGUUAUCCGGAUUUAUUGGGUUUAAAGGGAGCGUAGGUGGAUUGUUAAGUCAGUUGUGAAAGUUUGCGGCUCAACCGUAAAAUUGCAGUUGAAACUGGCAGUCUUGAGUACAGUAGAGGUGGGCGGAAUUCGUGGUGUAGCGGUGAAAUGCUUAGAUAUCACGAAGAACUCCGAUUGCGAAGGCAGCUCACUGGACUGCAACUGACACUGAGGCUCGAAAGUGUGGGUAUCAAACAGGAUUAGAUACCCCAGUAGUC